This 7334-nucleotide unclassified non-coding RNA is filed under the name Actinia tenebrosa (Australian red waratah sea anemone). Its description in RNAcentral is "receptor-type tyrosine-protein phosphatase delta- like, transcript variant X1". Lineage: Eukaryota; Metazoa; Cnidaria; Anthozoa; Actiniaria; Actiniidae. The record is from RNAcentral.
CGGUUGCACGCUGGUCAAGAUAUAUUUCUCGAGUCGAGAUAUCACUUGUGUCACAAUGUCAAAAAUGUGAAUGAAAACUAAUCUGAUAUUUAGUUUCGUAGCUAUACGCAUUGCCUUACUGUAUAGAGUGUAACACAUGUCGUAAUCAGGAGUCUGGUGGGUAAAAUUCGACUAAAAAACGACCAGAUUGAAUAUCUAGUGUAAUGGCCGCUUGCCAUUUGCUACGAAGACAGUUCACUGUGGUGUUGCUGGCUGUAGUUGUUCUUGCUCUGGGAUCCUCUUGCUUUGCAGAAGAGCCAAUGGAGCCAACGGAACCUACACCUACUGAGCCUGAGGAGGGACCAAGCAACAGCACUAACCAAAGUUCUAACUUGUUUACGACUCCUACAACAACCUCAACACAUAGCAUAGCUACUUCAAGCUCUCUUUAUUCAGAGCAGUGGAGCACUUCCAGUUUUACUGCUAGUGUUGUCAGUAAAAAUACUGAAAAUCCUCCUAGAAAUUCUCAAGUUCUUACAACUGCAGUUAGUACCUAUGGAAAUGGAGCGCUGGUACCUACAUCAGCAGUUUCAAAACCUUCUACUGGAAAUAGCUUGUUUAUUGCUACAAGUAAGACACAAGGUUCAGUUGUCAUGUCUUCCCAAGCCUCUGUACUCCCGAAAGCUUCUGCAGUUGGAAGCACAAAUGCAUUGAAAACUUUGCAUUUAAGUAACUCUUCUUCAGUUGUCCAGAGAGCUACAUCUAGUGCCUUCUUACAGACAGAGAAUGCUGUUAGUGCGAGCCAGUCUUCCACAAUCAUGCCUGAUACAACCAAGGCUUUGCCAUCACCUUCUUCUAUAACAUCUAGCUCUGCAUUGCAAACUAAAACUUUCUCAAGUAUGGAUCAUUCUUCAACCAUCUUGUCUAACAUGACAUAUGUUGUCCAAGGGAUAAUAACCUCAACCAUUUCCCCAUCAUCAUCUGUUUGUAUUGAGUGCACUACAGUUUCAUGCUCUACUGUAGUUUCAAACUCCACUGUUUUUGGAGUUAGUCCUUCACCAUCCUUAUCUAGGACUCAAGGAACCACUUUUCGAACGAUGACACUAUCUUCUAAUAGCAGCAUUGCAAUGGAAAAAACUACAAAUUCUAGCAAUAUUUUAACGCCCACCACUACAGGGAUAAAUAUGACAAGAACGUCUGUGAUUAGGACAGCACCAUUAUCAGUGAUCCCCACAAGUUCAUGGAAUCAGUCUUCGGCCUCUGAUUUUAUGGCACAGACUUCAACAGUUUCUCCCAGUAGUGCAGGAUUAUUUUCAAGUGUUUACAGCAAACAGUUGAAUUUCACUGCCUCAUCGUCUGUGUUGCCUAGAACGUCUUCUAUCGUGCUAACAACUCCAACUACCCCACCAGUUCACGCGCCUUCAGCUCCCCCUCAAGAUGUCCAGGCUUAUAACACCAGCUCCACCAGUAUCAGGGUAACAUGGCGACCCCCACCAUCAGAUACUCUUAAUGGCGUUCUUACAAAGUAUGAAGUCUUAGUACGAAAACUCGUAAGAUCAUCAGCAUCACAGAGUGCAUCUCAAACCAGCUCACCUCGAGUUAGUAGUACAUAUAUAACUGCGUCUUUAUCAAGUGGCGUUAGACACACUCUAAGUACUAUUAGCGCAACUGGAACUAAUCCGUCUUCCUCUACGAUUGUUCCUCCCACUGAACCAACGGAGGCCCCUAUUGAACCUACAUCACCUCCGGAGAGCUUGGUGGCUCCCAUCGACGCAGGCUUGAAUCUCAGCAUAAUCGUGAGCAAUCUUGAGAAGUUUACAUUUUACGAAGUGCGGGUUCGUGCUGUGACUGUUCGACCUGGUCCUUAUAGUGCUCCUGUGAAUGUUCAAACGGAUGAAGAUGUUCCAAACACUUGUCAGAACAUCUCGUUAUCCAGUCAGAAUUCAACAUCAGUGAUGGUUCACUGGACAAGGCCUUUACAGACCAAUGGCAUUCUUUUGGGAUACAAGAUAUAUUAUGGGUUAAAUGGUUCAAGAUUUUCGACUAAAAUGGUUGCAAGUAAUGAAGAGGCUUACCUCCUGGAGGGCCUGCUACCGUUUACUCUAUACAUAAUUAGAGUGAUGGCCUUUACAAGAAAAGGAGAAGGAGAACCAGUCUCGACCUCCUUUAAGACGCUGGAAGCAGCCCCUUCAGCCAUUCGAAAUCUUACUGGAGUGGCCAUCAACUCGACAGCUGUAAAUAUCUCUUGGACAAGACCAGAGUAUCCAAACGGAGAAAUCAAAUAUGUUGUUAUGAUGACAACUUCAAGCGGAGAAGAAUUUUUGCAGUCUGUUAAGAUCUACCAAGGGCGCGAGACGUAUUGUAUAGCUACGGGGCUCAAACCAGUUACCCGUUACCUAUUUUCUGUUUCUGCCAUGAACGUUAAACAUCUAUGGCAAAGUACAGUGGUUGAUGUAGCGGUGAUAACAUCAGCAGCAGAGCCUUCUGGUCCACCGCUGGAUAUUCAAACCACAGUAAAGAAUUCUACAUCCAUCCUGGUACAGUGGCAGCCACCACUUCCUUCUCUCAGGAAUGGGUUGAUAAAGAAAUAUGUCGUUCAAUAUUCGUCAGAUAAAAGUACCUACCUAUCCAAAGCCACGCAGGACAAUAGCACUCGUCUAUUGCUUACAUCUCUGUCCCCUUAUACAAUGUAUUACAUCAAAGUGCAGGCUGUUAAUCUCGCUGGGGCGGGUCCUUUUAGUGAACCUGUGACCAACAUGACGUUGGAAGAUGCACCCAGUCCUCCCACAAACAUCACGGCCAGAAGUGUCAAUGCAACGUGCGUGUUGGUCUCGUGGGGCAAGCCAGUUCAUCUGAACGGCGAGACGAUCAGCUAUGAACUUUACUAUAGAUUGACGUCUGUUAAUGCAAGUCAAGAUAGCCUUAUCUACGAUGGUGAAUCCACCAUCCAUGUGAUCUGCGGUCUGCACGAGUAUGCCAACUACACUUUCACUUUAUAUGCUAGUAAUGUUAAGUUCGGGUAUAAAAGUUCUCCUGUCCUUGCUAUGGAAACCACUCACCCAGCUGCGCCGUCAGGCCCUCCACAAAACACUCGUGCAGUUACCAUAUCAUCUCGUUCGAUUCUCGUCCAGUGGGAACCACCCAAGGCUCUGGAUAUGAAUGGUAUAAUCACGAGAUACCUUAUCAACAUGAAACGCCCAGAUGGUGCUUAUGAAAGUCGCACUUUGAAUGGGACCAGUAACUCGUGGGUAUUUAAGGGUCUACGACCAUACAAAGUGUAUGUUUUUACUGUGCAAGCUGUGAAUUUGGUUGGCGCAGGCCCUCGAAGCCCUCCUAUAUCAAACACAACCUACGAAGAAAUUCCUGAUGCACCCAUCAUUGAUCAAGUUACCAACCUAAGCUCCACAGUUUUACAGAUCGGCUGGCUCGUUCCUUUAAAUCCAAACGGAAAGUUGACUGAGUUUGCUGUUUGUUGGGAACUCCUUGAUUGGUCGAGCAAAACGUGUAACGUAACUGAUGGUACUACGAGAACUUUCAAUAUAUAUGGACUAGAACCGUACAGUUUGUAUAACAUCACCAUAAGAGCUGCAACAUCCCAAGGUUAUGGCCCGUUUGUUUCAGGUUUAUACCGCACCAUGGAAGGAGUCCCAUCGAAACCACAGAAUCUCCAUGCAUGGAAUACAAGUGCUACAUCGAUAUUUGUCACGUGGAAAGCACCAGUAAAGAACAACGGAAUCUUAAUUUCCUACAAGGUUUCCUACAGGCCAAGUCAAAAUUCGUCUGUUCCUGACAGCGCGGAUUUUGGGCUGUCCACCAAUUUUACUUUAAGAAACUUGAAAGCUUUUACAUUUUAUUGUGUUUGUGUACAAGCCACAACUAGUCAAGGGCUUGGAGAUAAAGCAUGUGGAUCUUUUAGUACUGAUGAGGGUGUUCCUGGAGCAGUCUCAUCGUUCAGUGCCCAGGCAGAUUCUUCUUCUUCAAUCCACUUAACCUGGAGCGCGCCAAGUCAUCCUAAUGGGAAGAUCGGUUACACCUUGUACUAUUACUCAACGAUCAACCCUGAACUGAAUGACACAAUAGGAUUUCUUAGUGAUCACCUAUCUUACUAUGUCAAUGGGUUGGAGCCCUAUACAAACUACACCUUUGGCAUCACUGCUUAUAACCUGAAGAAAGGUUUAGAAGGUCCUGCGCGUCUUGUUGUAGCAAAGACCAAACCUGCUCUUCCAGAAGGUCCUCCUUUAAAUGUCAGAGUUGUCAAUUCUACAGAUGAGUCGUUAACCAUCUCGUGGGAUCCCCCCGCUAAGCCUAACGGACCAAUAAAAGGCUACCGUCUAAUGAUUAACGAUGUAAAAACACCCAAUGAGAAAGAUUACCCAGAAGUUGAUGAUAAAAUGUACACCAUAAAGUCACUCAAAGCUUCGCAUCAGUAUGCUAUUAAAAUUGGUUCCAUUCCCGCUUGGGGCGUGCAAACUGGACCCUGGACAGAUAAAUACAUCUUUACAACGCAACCUUCAGCCCCUCCUGCAUUGCGGCCCAUCAAGCCUCCAGACAAAGACAUGAUCACAUCAAACGAGAUCGUCAUAGAGUUGCAAAAAGCAUCGAAUGAAAAUGGAAAAAUAAACUUCUACCAGGUUAUUGUUCUGGAAAUAGCUACCGAUGAAGAGGGAAAUCCUGUACAACAGGAUAAAAACCCAGACGAGUAUAAACCAUCAGAUCUGCUAACUUACCAGGAAGCCAGGAAGAGGAAACCAGACCUCGUACCAUACAUCACUGCAGAAUUUUCUGCAGAAGACUUCCACAGUUACCGGAUAUUUAGAGUCGGUGACGCAAAGAAUUAUAGUACAACGGCGAGAAGGAGGAGGGACACGGAUGGACAUUACUAUAAUGGACCACUUGAGCCUGGUACAUACUAUAGUGUGUUCCAAAGGGCAGCAGUGACAAGGGACCUGUACACGUCGACCGGUUGGCUGCGACCAGUGUCCACAGCAGCAUCGUCUACAGCUGCCAAAAGAAAGGCUGGUUCAAGUACGAACACUGGACUGGUUGUUGGAUUAUGUGUGACUUUCAUACUCAUCAUUAUUUUUAUCGUCAUCGUUUUUACCAUUCUCUGGAAAAAACGUCGUUUCGACUUCGGUGUCAUGUUGGAUGAUGAGAGCAGUUACACUGGAGGUCGAUCCUUACGGCUUAAAAAGAUACGAGGCAGUAAGCGACGUACGUCAAGUCGUGGUCUAAUGGGAUCUACUGACUCUUUGGAUAACCUUGAUGACAUCAACAGAAGGCGACAGCCGAUUCCUGUUGAAGACUUUCCUAACCAUGUUCGUAGGAUGCAUAUUGAUGGAGAUAUAGGUUUUUCAGAAGAAUACGAAUUAGUUCAACCCAACGACGAGGAAUUUACUUGGCACCACUCUCUCCACUCAGCAAAUAAAUACAAAAACAGAUACGCCAACAUCGUGGCCUAUGAUCACUCGCGUGUCAUUCUCACUCCGAUUGAAGGCGUAGCAGGAUCGGAUUACAUCAAUGCUAACUACAUCGAUGGGUACAAUCGGUCUGGUGCUUAUAUCGCUUGUCAAGGACCCCUCCCAGAGACAUUUGAUGACUUCUGGCGUAUGAUUUGGGAGCAAGGAACAGCGACUGUCGUCAUGCUUACCCAACUAGAAGAGCGUGGAAGGAGAAAAUGCGACCAGUAUUGGCCAGAUCGUGGCACCAAAAAUUAUGGUAUGAUCAGAGUAACUGCCAGUGAGACAUCCCACAUGUCUUAUUACAUCUUGCGGACAUUUAUUCUGUCUCACAAGCAAGAGGAAGAAGAACCCCGACAAGUAAAGCAGUACCACUUUACUUCGUGGCCUGAUCAUGGCGUCCCUUCACACCCAGCACCACUUCUGUCACUGGUGCGUACGGUGACCAAUGCAAAUCCCGCCUCUUCUGGGCCGAUAGUUGUGCAUUGUAGUGCCGGCGUUGGUCGUACAGGGACAUACAUAACCCUUGAUGCUAUGUUACAGAAAAUUGAAAAAGAGCAAACGAUAGAUGUAUUUGAAUUUGUCAAGCAGAUGAGGACGAAAAGAAAUAUCAUGGUUCAAACAGAGUCCCAAUAUGUAUUUAUUUACGAUGCUCUUAACGAAGCCGUCUCGUGUGGUGUCACAGAAUUUGAGGCCAAGAAAUUCGGUGCCCGACUUCGCGAAUUACGAGAGGUUGACCCAAACACUGGCCGAACCUACAUGGAAAAAGAGUUCCUGCGACUUGUUAAAGAUGAAAGACACCCGUCUACAUUUAGAAAUGCUAAUCUUGGAAUUGACUCUUCCAAAAAUAGAUAUGCCAACAUAUUACCAUAUGAAAAAACUCGCGUGCACUUGAAAAUGCGUCCAGGAGAGCUCGGAUCGGACUAUAUUAACGCUAGUUACAUAGAUGGUUACUGCCGUUUGAAUGCUUUCAUAGCAACUCAAGCUCCAGUGCCAAACACAUUUGAAGAUUUCUGGCGCAUGAUUUGGGAACAAAAAUCAUCAGUCAUAGUAAUGUUAACAAGAGAAGAAGAGGGAGGCAAGGUGAAAUGUCACCGUUACUGGCCAUCUGAUGGUACGCGUAUAUUUGAUAAUGUUUUGGUAGAACUAUCGGAGGAAGUGUCAUACUCUGAUUAUGUCAUGAGGCAGUUUAGCGUAACACACACAGAGGAGAAGGAGGUCCGUAUUGUCCGUCAAUACCAGUAUAUGGACUGGCCUGAUAUUGGUUUACCAGAGUCUGGUGUGGGUGUUAUUGAUCUAAUAGGACAAAUUGAAAAGUGGCAACAACAAAGUUGUAAUUCAAUGAUAACUGUACACUGCAGUGGUGGUGUAGGCCGAACUGGAGUGUUUUGUGCUGUUAGUAUUCUGAUUGAACGAGUCAAGGCUGAAGGAAUAAUAGAUGUGUUCCAGACUGUACAGUCUCUUAGACUGCAAAGACCUGCCAUGGUUCAGACAAUAGAACAGUAUGAAUUUUCUUACUCAACUCUUCAAGAGUAUUUAGACUCCUUUGACUUGUACGCCAACUUCCAGUAACUGCACAGCGGUCAACGCAUGCGCCAGAGAAAAGAAACAGUAAAUACUGCUGACCUUGAAUAUUUUCAAAGAGCCCUGGGAAAAACAUAGUGAACUACAUAAAGCUAUAAUGAAAGAAAAAUAAUUGAUGGUAUUCAGAGAAGUUGACACAUGACGCUAAUAAGGCUGUGGCCCUCUAUGUUCAAUGUCUCUGAAUGAGAGGUGAUCAUGCAAGCCAUCUGAUCGUAUGCCAUCUGGCAGAGUUUCAUAGUACUUUUGCAUAUUUUGAAUUAGUUUUGAUGACAUGACAUUUUCUGAUAAAAUCUUUUAAACGAACCAUUUAAAAAG